CGGGGUGAGUAACGCGUGGAUAACCUGCCUCACACUGGGGGAUAACAGUUAGAAAUGGCUGCUAAUACCGCAUAAGCGCACAGUACCGCAUGGUACGGUGUGAAAAACCCAGGUGGUGUGAGAUGGAUCCGCGUCUGAUUAGCCAGUUGGCGGGGUAACGGCCCACCAAAGCGACGAUCAGUAGCCGACCUGAGAGGGUGACCGGCCACAUUGGGACUGAGACACGGCCCAA
RNAcentral lists this ribosomal RNA (232 nucleotides) under uncultured bacterium. Its description in RNAcentral is "partial 16S ribosomal RNA". It matches the Rfam family "Bacterial small subunit ribosomal RNA", at positions 104 to 334 of the family's 1533-position model. The record is from RNAcentral.